Pseudonaja textilis is the source of this 1205-nucleotide non-coding RNA. Lineage: Eukaryota; Metazoa; Chordata; Lepidosauria; Squamata; Elapidae. The record is from RefSeq and is a predicted model, not a curated record.
CCUUCCGGUUCUCCAGAACCGGGCAGAACUGGUCGAAUACCACCACUGAUGCUACAUUCCUUAAAGCUGAGGAAAGAUGCCACAUGGGCAGCCAAACUAAGAGUUAUGUAUGAGAACAUAACGGGAGAUAAUUCUCUCUGGAGACAUCCUAGGAUUAGCUGCAACACCUGAUGGCAUAUCCAAUAAGUUUAAAGUUGGAAGGGAAUGAGUCUCAACAAGGGGACUUGGGUAUUGAGAUGAAACUAUAUAUAAUGUAUGUUUUGGAAUUCAAAGGUGUGGCUUUUGAUUUGAACCUGCUUGUUGAGGUUCUAAAAGGUUCUCAACAGUGCUUUGCAAACUGCCCAUUAUUUCUUUUUUAAUAAAUUCUGUUUUCAGUGAUCCAAGUUUCUUUUGUUGGCUUUGAGUUAUUUCCAACACUAUUAAGUGCUCCAGAUGAGCACUCAUAUCAUAGCAUCUAGCUGCCUGCCCAGUGAGAUUUUGAAUCCUUACAUUCUCUUAUACAAAGGUUCCUCAAUGACAUUUCCUAUAGAAACUCUUGAAUUGAAAAAAUACUUGGUCAUUUGAUCUCAUCCUAGCAUUUAAUUCACACCAAUUGUUACUGAUGAUACAAGGUAUUUAGAGAAGUAAAGAUAAAAACUUCUAUGCACUCCAAGUAGUGUUGAUCUGAGCAUAGUUUUUUAAAGGCAGAAAAGCAGAAGUUUCCUCGAAGAAAAGAAUAUCAAACUGUCAUACAGAAUCAAGACAAGGUUGGUCUUUUGAAGGUGCCGGCCAGCCUGCAAUACUCCAAGUUAAAUUCAUAACUAAUUCAGUCACUAAGUGACCAGUUUUAAGUUGAUGACCUGUAUCGUGUAAUAGCUAUCCAAUUGCUUUUUAUUAACCAAAAGCAAUCAUUAGAAAUCAUGUUUUAUUCAAAAUACAACAAUUUAAUUCCAUUGAUAUCUGCCAAUUAUACAUGAAACAAUGUUAGAAGAACUCUUGUCCUUUUUUGUUCACACUUGUGCUAAAAUCUGAUGUCCAAAUGGUUUCUUCUGCUGCAGACAUAAUUGGUUGGUAUUAUACCGAGAGCACUCAACUUAUGGCCAUAAUUAACUGGAACCUCCAUCAUUAAGUGUUGCAGAUACUGAUUCUUUUGCUGCAGUCAAGCAAAUCUGGCAUUCAUUAUAAACUUGGCUCGUCAGAAGCACUCAUAGAAAUUAUGAUUACAU